This is a long non-coding RNA of Prosopis cineraria, 632 nucleotides long. RefSeq lists it as uncharacterized. Lineage: Eukaryota; Viridiplantae; Streptophyta; Magnoliopsida; Fabales; Fabaceae. The record is from RefSeq and is a predicted model, not a curated record. The transcript is spliced from 2 exons.
UUUGGCUAGAGCAGAGUUAGAAGUGCGCGGACGGACGGACGGACGGACGGACACACGCACACAGAGGGAGGGAGGGCUUGGUUUUCGUUCAGCAUUUUUCCUCCUCCUUUUUGUUCAUCUGUCGCCCGCAACCAUGUGUAUGCCGGUCGUCCGCCGCUAUGGUGAUUCCGUGAAGUCCGAUUUCUUUAUCGUCUUCCCCUGCUUCGCAGGCCUUCCUGCAUCUUCUUCCUCCUCUGUCCGAGCAGCGAUCUGGAUGCGCAGGAAAACUCCCUCUCCUGUUCUUUCUGUUGCUAAGGUGUCCUUCAUCAGUCUCUCCCUUGGCUACUCCUUCCUUUCUGUCCUUAUUUCCGUGCGGGUGUGCGAUGGACCUUCUUCCUUUUUCCAUGGUUGUACGACUAGCUUCUUUCGCUGCUGAUUGAAGAGGUACAAGAAUUACACUUAGAGACGGACCCACAUUCUCCUUUCGGUGCGGCCAAUUAACUUUAUCAUCAUUUUAUUAAGUUGUUUUAUUGCUGUAAAUGAUUUUAUCAUAGAAAUAAAGUAGAAUCACAAAUGUAAAUUAUUUAAAAUUGACAAGGGCUAUUUUAUUCUUGAGAAAGACCCCAUAUUAUAUAUACAUUAUAUUGUGCCCC